AGAAUUGAUCUUGGUCAGAACGAACGCUGGCGGCAGGCUUAACACAUGCAAGUCGAACGCACCGCAAGGUGAGUGGCAGACGGGUGAGUAACGCGUGGGAACCUUCCCUUUGGUACGGAAUAACUCGGGAAACCGAAGCUAAUACCGUAUAAGUCCUUCGGGAGAAAGAUUUAUCGCCAAAGGAUGGGCCCGCGUUGGAUUAGCUAGUUGGUAGGGUAAAGGCCUACCAAGGCGACGAUCCAUAGCUGGUCUGAGAGGAUGAUCAGCCACACUGGGACUGAGACACGGCCCAGACUCCUACGGGAGGCAGCAGUGGGGAAUAUUGGACAAUGGGGGCAACCCUGAUCCAGCCAUGCCGCGUGAGUGAAGAAGGCCUUAGGGUUGUAAAGCUCUUUUGGCGGGGACGAUAAUGACGGUACCCGCAGAAUAAGCCCCGGCUAACUUCGUGCCAGCCGCAGC
Molecule: ribosomal RNA, 459 nt
Filed under: uncultured bacterium
Lineage: Bacteria
Description: bacterial SSU rRNA
Rfam family: Bacterial small subunit ribosomal RNA
Source: RNAcentral